RNAcentral lists this ribosomal RNA (397 nucleotides) under uncultured bacterium. RNAcentral's name for it is "bacterial SSU rRNA". It matches the Rfam family "Bacterial small subunit ribosomal RNA", at positions 28 to 428 of the family's 1533-position model. The record is from RNAcentral.
GACGAACGCUGGCGGCGUGCUUAACACAUGCAAGUCGAGCGGUAAGGCCCUUUCGGGGGUACACGAGCGGCGAACGGGUGAGUAACACGUGGGUGACCUGCCCUCAGCUCUGGGAUAAGCCCGGGAAACUGGGUCUAAUACCGGAUAUGACUCCAUGACGCAUGUUGUGGGGUGGAAANCCUUGUGCGGCUGAGGAUGGGCCCGCGGCCUAAUCAGCUUGUUGGUGGGGUGAUGGCCACCAAGGCGACGACGGGUAGCCGGCCUGAGAGGGCGACCGGCCACACUGGGACUGAGAUACGGCCCAGACUCCUACGGGAGGCAGCAGUGGGGAAUCUUGCGCAAUGGGCGAAAGCCUGACGCAGCGACGCCGCGUGAGGGAUGACGGCCUCGGUUGUAA